Nelumbo nucifera (sacred lotus) is the source of this 73-nucleotide non-coding RNA. NCBI's taxonomy places the organism in Eukaryota, Viridiplantae, Streptophyta, Magnoliopsida, Proteales, Nelumbonaceae. The record is from Rfam.
GGGGAUGUAGCUCAAAUGGUAGAGCGUUUGCUUAUCUUGCGAGAAGUACGAGGUUCAAUACCCCGCAUCUCUA